RNAcentral lists this ribosomal RNA (445 nucleotides) under uncultured bacterium. RNAcentral describes it as "partial 16S ribosomal RNA". It matches the Rfam family "Bacterial small subunit ribosomal RNA", at positions 354 to 796 of the family's 1533-position model. The record is from RNAcentral.
GUGAGGAAUAUUGCGCAAUGGAGGCAACUCUGACGCAGCCAUGCCGCGUGCAGGAAGAAGGCGCUACGCGUUGAAAACUGCUUUUAACCGGGAAGAAACCCCAGGACGUGUCCUGGGUUGACGGUACCGGAGGAAUAAGCACCGGCUAACUUCGUGCCAGCAGCCGCGGUAAUACGAAGGGUGCAAGCGUUAUCCGGAUUCAUUGGGUUUAAAGGGUGCGUAGGCGGAGCGUUAAGUCAGUGGUGAAAUCCUGCAGCUUAACUGUAGACUUGCCAUUGAUACUGGCGCUCUUGAGUGCGCUUGAAGUGGGCGGAAUGUGCCGUGUAGCGGUGAAAUGCUUAGAUAUGGCACAGAACACCAAUUGCGAAGGCAGCUCACUAAGGCGAUACUGACGCUGAGGCACGAAAGCGUGGGGAUCGAACAGGAUUAGAUAACCCAGUAGUCC